RNAcentral lists this ribosomal RNA (363 nucleotides) under uncultured bacterium. Its description in RNAcentral is "bacterial SSU rRNA". It matches the Rfam family "Bacterial small subunit ribosomal RNA", at positions 29 to 419 of the family's 1533-position model. The record is from RNAcentral.
AACGAACGCUGGCGGCAUGCCUAACACAUGCAAGUCGAACGAGACCUUUCGGGGUCUAGUGGCGCACGGGUGCGUAACGCGUGGGAAUCUGCCCUUGGGUUCGGAAUAACACAGAGAAAUUUGUGCUAAUACCGGAUGAUGUCUUCGGACCAAAGAUUUAUCGCCCAAGGAUGAGCCCGCGUAGGAUUAGGUAGUUGGUGGGGUAAUGGCCUACCAAGCCGACGAUCCUUAGCUGGCUGAGAGGAUGAUCAGCCACACUGGGACUGAGACACGGCCCAGACUCCUACGGGAGGCAGCAGUGGGGAAUAUUGGACAAUGGCGAAAGCCUGAUCCAGCAAUGCCGCGUGAGUGAUGAAGGCCUUA